AGUGAACGCUGGCGGUAGGCCUAACACAUGCGAGUCGAACGGCAGCACAGUAAGAGCUUGCUCUUACGGGUGGCGAGUGGCGGACGGGUGAGGAAUACAUCGGAAUCUACUUUUUCGUGGGGGAUAACGUAGGGAAACUUACGCUAAUACCGCAUACGACCUACGGGUGAAAGCAGGGGAUCUUCGGACCUUGCGCGAUUGAAUGAGCCGAUGUCGGAUAGCUAGUUGGCGGGGUAAAGGCCCACCAAGGCGACGAUCCGUAGCUGGUCUGAGAGGAUGAUCAGCCACACUGGAACUGAGACACGGUCCAGACUCCUACGGGAGGCAGCAGUGGGGAAUAUUGGACAAUGGGCGCAAGCCUGAUCCAGCCAUACCGCGUGGGUGAAGAAGGCCUUCGGGUUGUAAAGCCCUUUUGUUGGGAAAGAAAAGCAGCAGGUUAAUACCCCGCUGUUCUGACGGUACCCAAAGAAUAAGCACCGGCUAACUUCGUG
RNAcentral lists this ribosomal RNA (491 nucleotides) under uncultured bacterium. RNAcentral describes it as "partial 16S ribosomal RNA". It matches the Rfam family "Bacterial small subunit ribosomal RNA", at positions 29 to 507 of the family's 1533-position model. The record is from RNAcentral.